RNAcentral lists this ribosomal RNA (323 nucleotides) under uncultured eukaryote. RNAcentral's name for it is "partial 18S ribosomal RNA". It matches the Rfam family "Eukaryotic small subunit ribosomal RNA", at positions 1470 to 1796 of the family's 1831-position model. The record is from RNAcentral.
CCCUUAGAUGUUCUGGGCGGCCCGCGCACUACAUUGGCACUAGCAAAGAGAUCCUAGAUUGAAUUCUUUGGGGUAUUCUUCUAAAUGGUGUCGUGACUGGGAUAAAUCCUUGUAAUUAUUGGUUUUGAACGAGGAAUUCCUUGUAAUCGCGGUUUAUCAGCUCGCGUUGAAUGCGUCCCUGCCCUUUGUACACACCGCCCGUCGCUCCUACCGAUUGGAUGGUCCGGUGAAGCCUCGGGAUUGUGGUUCUUGCCGCUUUAUUGUGGCGUGACCGCGAGAACUUGUCUAAACCUUAUCAUCUAGAGGAAGGUGAAGUCGUAACA